This 65-nucleotide transfer RNA is filed under the name Haliplus flavicollis. RNAcentral's name for it is "tRNA-His". Lineage: Eukaryota; Metazoa; Arthropoda; Insecta; Coleoptera; Haliplidae. The record is from RNAcentral.
AUUUAAGUAAUUUAAAUAUAAAAUUUUGAUUUGUGGUAUCAAAAAUGUAAAAAUUUUUACCUUAA